GUGGAUAACCUGCCGUAUACCGGGGGAUAACACUUAGAAAUAGGUGCUAAUACCGCAUAAGCGCACGGCUCCGCAUGGGGCAGUGUGAAAAACUCCGGUGGUAUACGAUGGAUCCGCGUCUGAUUAGCUAGUUGGCGGGGUAACGGCCCACCAAGGCAGCGAUCAGUAGCCGGCCUGAGAGGGUGGACGGCCACAUUGGGACUGAGACACGGCCCAAACUCCUACGGGAGGCAGCAGUGGGGAAUAUUGCAUAAUGGGGGAAACCCUGAUGCAGCGACGCCGCGUGAGUGAAGAAGUAUCUCGGUACGUAAAGCUCUAUCAGCAGGGAAGAAAAUGACGGUACCUGACCAAGAAGCCCCGGCUAACUACGUGCCAGCAGCCGCGGUAAUACGUAGGGGGCAAGCGUUAUCCGGAUUUACUGGGUGUAAAGGGAGCGUAGACGGCAGCACAAGUCUGGAGUGAAAUCCCGGGGCUUAACCCCGGAACUGCUUUGGAAACUGUGCGGCUGGAGUGCAGGAGGGGUAAGCGGAAUUCCUAGUGUAGCGGUGAAAUGCGUAGAUAUUAGGAGGAACACCGGUGGCGAAGGCGGCUUACUGGACUGUAACUGACGUUGAGGCUCGAAAGCGUGGGGAGUAACCAGGAUUAGAUACCCUGGUAGUCCACGCCGUAAACGAUGAUUACUAGGUGUCGGGGGACCAAGGUCCUCCGGUGCCGGCGCAAACGCAUUAAGUAAUCCACCUGGGGAGUACGUCCGCAAGAAUGAAACUCANAGGAAUUGACGGG
RNAcentral lists this ribosomal RNA (783 nucleotides) under uncultured bacterium. RNAcentral describes it as "bacterial SSU rRNA". It matches the Rfam family "Bacterial small subunit ribosomal RNA", at positions 117 to 917 of the family's 1533-position model. The record is from RNAcentral.